Molecule: ribosomal RNA, 253 nt
Filed under: uncultured bacterium
Lineage: Bacteria
Description: partial 16S ribosomal RNA
Rfam family: Bacterial small subunit ribosomal RNA
Source: RNAcentral
AACGUAGGUGGCAAGCGUUAUCCGGAUUUACUGGGCGUAAAGCGUGUGCAGGCGGGGGUACAAGUGGUGUAUGAAAUUCCCCAGCUUAACUGGGAAGGGUUAUGCCAGACUGUACUUCUGGAGUGCGAGAGAGGGGCGUGGAAUUCCGGGUGUAGUGGUGAAAUGCGUAGAGAUCCGGAGGAACCCCAGAGGCGAAGGCGGCGUUCUGGACUGUUUCUGACACUGAAAAACGAAAGCCAGGGGAGCAAACGGG